GACGAACGCUGGCGGCGUGCUUAACACAUGCAAGUCGAGCGGUAAGGCCUUUCGGGGUACACGAGCGGCGAACGGGUGAGUAACACGUGGGUGAUCUGCCCUGCACUUCGGGAUAAGCCUGGGAAACUGGGUCUAAUACCGGAUAUGACCUCCUAUCGCAUGGUGGGUGGUGGAAAGAUUUAUCGGUGCAGGAUGGGCCCGCGGCCUAUCAGCUUGUUGGUGGGGUAAUGGCCUACCAAGGCGACGACGGGUAGCCGACCUGAGAGGGUGACCGGCCACACUGGGACUGAGACACGGCCCAGAAUCCUACGGGAGGCAGCAGUGGGGAAUAUUGCACAAUGGGCGAAAGCCUGAUGCAGCGACGCCGCGUGAGGGAUGACGGCCUUCGGGUUGUAAACCUCUUUCAGCAGGGACGAAGCGCAAGUGACGGUACCUGCAGAAGAAGCACCGGCUAACUACGUG
This 462-nucleotide ribosomal RNA is filed under the name uncultured bacterium. Its description in RNAcentral is "partial 16S ribosomal RNA". It matches the Rfam family "Bacterial small subunit ribosomal RNA", at positions 28 to 507 of the family's 1533-position model. The record is from RNAcentral.